GAGCUCUGCAAAAUUGCCACUAGAUAAUGGUCCUCCUAGAGGGCAGGUUUUCCUAGAAUUUUAACAGUAGGGGUCAUAUGUGGUCGUUAGAAAAAAGCGUCUACUCAUUCAUUCAUUCAUCUCAUAAACAUUUCCUCGUUACUUAACUGUGUGUUGGAAAUUGCUACACAGAGGCUCACAGUCUCAUGAAGAAGGCAGUCACAUAUGGAUAACCUAGGCCAACAUACUGUAGCAUUAGAAGUUUGCUGACAGGGUUCUAUGGAAAUUUCUAGAAGGAAUUGCCUAAAACAACCUGGAAGGGUCAAGGACAGCUUCCUAAAUUGGUGGAUGAUACCUAAACCGAGUCUUAAAUGAUGAGCAAGAGUUAGCCAGACAAAUAAGGAAGGAGUGAGACACUCCAGGUUCAGGGACUGAAUGAGCCAAGUGACAGGGGUGAGAGGCAGCAUGUGGGUGACAGGAAAAAUUCACACCGCCUCUCAGAAGCCACGAGAGUGCUGUUUAAUUUAACCUGCCAAGCAUCAAUUACCAGUUUAAAAACUGAGCACCUACCGUGUACUGAGGCACUUGCAAACUGCGGCAGUUACAAAAUUGAAUAAGGCGUGAAGCCCACCCUCCAUGAAUUAACGAGCUUAUAAAUAUAAUUCUGUAGGAAAAAUAAUUAAAAUCAAAUGUAAAAAGCACCACCAUAGAGAUAUGAAAGACGGUCUGUGGAAGCCUCAAGGAAGAGGCCAAGACGCAGAUUGGUGACGGUUUUAUAAAGGAGAUGACUUUUGAGGCGGAUCUUGGCAAACGAAGAAUUCCUCAGGUAAAGUCAUGGAUUCCAGGCAGAGUGAAACUGGAGUACUCAUUUUCUUGAAGGAGGAAAGAAGGAUUGGAGUAGUGGGUUCGCCAAGAGAUGCUUGGGGUUCUUGGUUGGAGAACCACAAACUGACCUUUCAAAGGCCAGGGAACUUGUCUUGAAGUCAUGUUUCCAUAAUACUACUUUCAUGGAGUUGUUAUGUUUGUUUUGAGUGGCUUGCAAAGAAGUGCAAUUGGAGAUUGUGGGGGAAGUAAAAUCUGCCUUACUCCCUCGCCAUGGCUUGGCCCACCACAGAACUAGAAUUCUCUAGAGCUCUGGAACCAUCCUCGUCCCAGGACAGACAGCAAGGGCAUAUGCCGCUAACAAGCCUGGUUCCACAGCCCCUCACCAGGGUUCAGAGGGUCUCUGCAGUUUCUUACCUCUACUCUUGCUUCGUCUUCCCCAAGACAGGUCUUGAUAACAAACCCCUCCUUACAUAGUAAGGCUCCAGGCAGGAAUGCCAAUGGACACAGCACAGGAAUGCACAGGAAGCAGAAGCACUAGGAUUUAACUACCAUGCCCUGCACAGAUUCCUUAAUUCCUUCUUGGUGAUUCAGAGUAGAGUUUCCACUCUACAGAUUCUUGCUAUGUGGGAUUUUGGCUUUCCUGACCCAACAGUGCCUGUAAAGCCAUGGUACAGGAGAUCACUCUGAGGCGGGGGCAGCCACACUGAACUACUUGGGCAAGUUUCUUCACCUAUACGUGCCUCAGAUUCCCUAUCUGUAAAACGCAGGAUACACAGUUCGGACCGACCAACCAAAGCCAACACCUCAUGAAAGGGAAGAAACAGCACAUCACCCAUCAGAGAGGAGCUCACACGACUCUCACAGUCCCAGGACAACUGUUGGAGCUCCUGUUAGGCUUCCUCUUCAUGUGUGAAGAGGAGACCUCAGAGUUUCCUAGAGCAGCCUCUAAACAGACAAUAAAGACCAAUUGCUAAUCUGGAAAAUGUUAGGCAACCAUAUGUAGUAGGUAGGAAUGCCAGCUCACAAACUCAGGUGUGCAAAAGAAUACUGUAUCCUUUAUUUUAUAGAAAUCAGCCCAAUUUUUAUUUUAGCAUCUCCCUUACCCAAGGGCUGUUGUGAGACUUGUCCUUAUUCGUCCUCAGGGUUAAGCCUGGAUGGAUGAGUUGGUGAUGAGUAGGGACAUUUGGUCUUUGGUUCUGGGUACACCUAGGUUACACUGGAGAUGCCCAUCAUCCCUAUCUGCUUAGACCCUUAGGCAACAUCACCUGUGGCCCUAUCUGGUGAGACACCACACAAGAAUUCCUUUCUGAGGGUUUGGGCCCUUGUCAGGAUGCUACAGGGAAGCCAGGCUGAUCCCCACUGCGCCAGGGUGCCUGUACUCCACCUUUCUCUUCCUGUAGCCCAGGUCCUUGUGGACUGUGGGGAGGGCAUAGGUGAGCCCCACUCUCCCUUCUGCUUCUCUAGGUCACUCUGCCUCUGCCACUGAAUACCCUUCAUCCCUUUAGUUCUUCCACAAACCCAUAGACUCUCUGUAAGAGCUUACAAAGAAAGAGCCAGGUAUUCUUGACAGGAACCUCUGCUUUCUGCCUGCCACAUACCUUAUCUGUGCUGAUGAAGCGCAGAGUAAAUGGCCUGUGAGAAUGGGGCAAAGAGCAAAAGGAAAAUCAGAGACAGUGAAGAUAAAACAAAUAAAAUAAUGUCUCCAAAUAUUACUCAGUCAUACAAAGUCCCCAAAGCACAAGAUUCACAAUGGAUUUUCACGCUUUGCAGAGAUAGAGCACGGGGAGGGUUGCAGACCCACACGUAAUCCUCAUCAGCUCAGUCCCAAAACGUGGAUUGCAGUGCCCAGACCUUCUGUAUCUGGAGACCAUUUGUGGCCUGCUGCCUCUAGCCCAUAUUUAUAUUCCAGGGCUGGACCCAACUAGGGGACCAAACAGGGUACAAAUAACAGCUCAAUUGACACAGUGCCUCCCAUGCCUUUUUCUGGCAGGUAGCGGCCAUUUAAGGGCACCGUGCUGGGAAAAUCCACCCCUUUAUGCCAACUGAGUCCCUGUAUUUAGGGGUGAGAGAAGCUUUUACCAUUAUCACCUGCAAGAUGCAGACAGUGUUCCCGACUCUAGAAACAUAGUUAUUUGGCAUCUGCCUUUUACCCAGAGCUGAUGGAGGGAUGUGUUUUCUUUUUACAUCAAUGUACUUGACUGUUCUUGGUGUAAAAAGAUGACAGAUGCUGAUGCUAUUGCCAUCUGAGCAUGUGAGCACGACUGCGAGACCUGGGAGUGUUUGCUGGCAAGAGGCAAGUGCAUAAGCAUGUGCGUGCAUGCAUGCACACACACACACACACAGAGUCACUCACACACCCACACCCACAUAGUCACCCCCCAAACCACCCCCCCCCACAUACACACAGAGUCACACACCAGCACAUGCAGCUUCACCAGAUUAG
This 3247-nucleotide long non-coding RNA is filed under the name Equus caballus (horse). RNAcentral describes it as "lncRNA (ENSECAG00000042878.2)". The record is from RNAcentral. Lineage: Eukaryota; Metazoa; Chordata; Mammalia; Perissodactyla; Equidae.